ACAGGUGCUGCAUGGCUGUCGUCAGCUCGUGUCGUGAGAUGUUGGGUUAAGUCCCGCAACGAGCGCAACCCUUGCCUUAGUUGCCAGCAGUUCGGCUGGGCACUCUAAAGGGACUGCCGGUGUUAAACCGGAGGAAGGUGGGGAUGACGUCAAGUCCUCAUGGCCUUUAUGACCAGGGCUACACACGUACUACAAUGGCCGAUACAAAGGGCAGCGACACUGCGAGGUGAAGCCAAUCCCGUAAAAUCGGUCUCAGUCCGGAUUGGAGUCUGCAACUCGACUCCAUGAAGUUGGAAUCGCUAGUAAUCGUGGAUCAGCAUGCCACGGUGAAUACGUUCCCGGGCCUU
Molecule: ribosomal RNA, 347 nt
Filed under: uncultured Desulfobulbus sp.
Lineage: Bacteria; Pseudomonadati; Thermodesulfobacteriota; Desulfobulbia; Desulfobulbales; Desulfobulbaceae
Description: bacterial SSU rRNA
Rfam family: Bacterial small subunit ribosomal RNA
Source: RNAcentral